UACGGGGGGAGCAAGCGUUGUUCGGAUUUACUGGGCGUAAAGGGCUCGUAGGCGGCCAACUAAGUCGGACGUGAAAUCCCCAGGCUCAACCUGGGAACUGCGUCCGAUACUGGAUGGCUUGAAUUCGGGAGAGGGAUGCAGAAUUCCAGGUGUAGCGGUGAAAUGCGUAGAUAUCUGGAGGAAUACCGGUGGCGAAGGCGGCAUCCUGGACCGACAUUGACGCUGAUGAGCGAAAGCUAGGGGAGCAAACGGG
This 253-nucleotide ribosomal RNA is filed under the name uncultured bacterium. Its description in RNAcentral is "partial 16S ribosomal RNA". It matches the Rfam family "Bacterial small subunit ribosomal RNA", at positions 524 to 776 of the family's 1533-position model. The record is from RNAcentral.